CCUACGGGUGGCAGCAGUGAGGAAUAUUGGUCAAUGGACGAGAGUCUGAACCAGCCAAGUAGCGUGAAGGAUGACUGCCCUAUGGGUUGUAAACUUCUUUUAUAUGGGAAUAAAAUGUUCCACGUGUGGGAUUUUGUAUGUACCAUAUGAAUAAGGAUCGGCUAACUCCGUGCCAGCAGCCGCGGUAAUACGGAGGAUCCGAGCGUUAUCCGGAUUUAUUGGGUGUAAAGGGAGCGUAGGUGGAUUGUUAAGUCAGUUGUGAAAGUUUGCGGCUCAACCGUAAAAUUGCAGUUGAAACUGGCAGUCUUGAGUACAGUAGAGGUGAGCGGAAUUCGUGGUGUAGCGGUGAAAUGCUUAGAUAUCACGAAGAACUCCGAUUGCGAAGGCAGUUCACUGGACUGCAACUGACACUGAGGCUCGAAAGUGUGGGUAUCAAACAGGAUUAGAUACCCCAGUAGUC
This 460-nucleotide ribosomal RNA is filed under the name uncultured bacterium. Its description in RNAcentral is "partial 16S ribosomal RNA". It matches the Rfam family "Bacterial small subunit ribosomal RNA", at positions 338 to 795 of the family's 1533-position model. The record is from RNAcentral.